This 446-nucleotide ribosomal RNA is filed under the name uncultured soil bacterium. RNAcentral's name for it is "bacterial SSU rRNA". It matches the Rfam family "Bacterial small subunit ribosomal RNA", at positions 26 to 476 of the family's 1533-position model. The record is from RNAcentral.
AGAUUGAACGCUGGCGGCAGGCCUAACACAUGCAAGUCGAGCGGUAGAGAGGUGCUUGCAUCUCUUGAGAGCGGCGGACGGGUGAGUAAUGCCUAGGAAUCUGCCUAGUGGUGGGGGAUAACGUUCGGAAACGGACGCUAAUACCGCAUACGUCCUACGGGAGAAAGGCGGGGGACCUUCGGGCCUCGCGCCAUUAGAUGAGCCUAGGUCGGAUUAGCUAGUUGGUGAGGUAAUGGCUCACCAAGGCGACGAUCCGUAACUGGUCUGAGAGGAUGAUCAGUCACACUGGAACUGAGACACGGUCCAGACUCCUACGGGAGGCAGCAGUGGGGAAUAUUGGACAAGUGGGCGAAAGCCUGAUCCAGCCAUCGCCGCGUGUGUGAAGAGUCUUACGGAUUGUAAAGCUACUUUAAGUGGGAGGUAAGGUUUAGUAACCUUAAGUCGUU